This is a long non-coding RNA of Thamnophis sirtalis, 413 nucleotides long. RefSeq lists it as uncharacterized. Lineage: Eukaryota; Metazoa; Chordata; Lepidosauria; Squamata; Natricidae. The record is from RefSeq and is a predicted model, not a curated record.
AGGUGGUGAAACUAAGUAUUGAAAAUCUGGAUGGCAGUUUCCGGAAGAGGAAUGAACAAAUGUUUGCGCGCAUGGAUACUUAGAAAUAUUUGCUUUAUGAACGUUCCAAGGAUGAUGCGGGGCGUGGGAAAGGAAGGAUAAGCUACUACAUCGUCAUGCCAUACGUAGAUACAGAGCUUUACCAUUUAUUGAUCCGUGGGAUUUAGUCCUUCAACGAAUGAAAUCCUAUUUGCUUUAAAGAAGAUUUCUCACCGUUAUGACAUGGAAGUUUUCGAAAAUAAGCUCCCUAGAACUACAGAUGAGACCACACCAAAUAUGGCAAUAAACCUUGACUCUCCAGAGACUUCACGAGUACUAAGGAAUUUGCUUAUAGCAGCUACGAUGGCACAGUGGUUAGAGUGCAGCACUGCAGG